This is a long non-coding RNA of Lolium rigidum, 2604 nucleotides long. RefSeq lists it as uncharacterized. The transcript has 5 exons. The record is from RefSeq and is a predicted model, not a curated record. Lineage: Eukaryota; Viridiplantae; Streptophyta; Magnoliopsida; Poales; Poaceae.
GGUCUCCGUCUCCUACCAUAGCACAACACGGUGCCCAGCCGUACCAGUCAGAUCGUUGCCCCGAGCGUCCGCCAUGGACCUCCUCCCGUUGGUGCCUCCCCAUAGGAGGAGGACCUCGGGCCGGAGAUGGGGAUUGAGGAGGAGGAGAAGGGGGACGGAUAUAUAGGUGGUCAGGGGGCGACGAGGUCAAGAGGGAUGGCAGCGCGACCAAGACGUGCUCAGCGGCAAUGGGGAGGCCGUCCCGGUGGAUGCUGUAGCGGGCGCACCGCUGGACCCGGGGCACCGCCUCCUUCCCCAUGGGAAGGUCGCCGUGGGUGCUCCCUUGCUUUAGAUCCCGGUGGGAGGAGUGGGGCUGAUGCCUGAUAGGAAGGAGUGCCGGGAUGUAGGUGGUCCUGGCCGCCUGAUGUUUCCUUGACAGCAAGGACGACCAAGGCCGGGAUUGUACUCUGCCCCUGCCCCCCUACCAUGGUCCGGCGCUGCAUAUUGCCAUUGGCGCUUCUUUGCCGCCGGCUUCCUGCAAGCGUGGUGGUGUCGUUGCCGAUGGCGACACUGCUGAAGCGCUGCUACCAGAGGGUCAGUAUACCGUGGUUUUCCUCCAUGCAGUCAUUGCCUCGCUCAUAGGGCCACAAAAGAGUGUACCAUCGGCCUUCCAGGGAAGCUCCUUCCAUUGGCCAGCUAUUUUGAGUUCCCUACUCAUUGGACUAUCAUGCACCUGAAUCUUGGAACAAACUGGAUUCUAUCUACGAUGGAUUAAUUCCAGCAAGGUUUUGUUGCUUGGACCGGAAGCUGUCUACCAUCUAAACGGGCAUUGUGCAAAGAACUCAAGCUACCAUGUUUAUGCUUCUCAGCGUAGCGGUACCGGUGCGGGAUACAGGGAACGUGAGAAGAUGCAGCAGGGUGAGUCCUUGCUGCCAACCAGGGUUACUCUCUCCACAGAGGGUGUCGUCCUAGGCCCUAGCCAAGAUUCAUGAUGUUUGCCUCCAUGUCUUUCCUUACAGGGGAGUUUCUAAUUCUAUCGUUAUCAUUUACUUAUCUUCUAUACAUGCAUGUAUGAUGAUAAGCUCUUGAUAUGUAGUUGCUAUGUUAGCCAUACUCAAUCAUAUUAUAUUGGUAAAAUAAUGCUCAUUGAACAGAUUUUUUUAUUUGUAGAAGAAUUGGUCAAAACCGCCCUGAUCUCCAUUGAGAAUCAUCGUUGAUAUGUAGUUGCUAUGUUAGCCAUACUCAAUCAUAUUAUAUUAGUAAAAUAAUGCUCAUUGAACAGAUUUUUUAUUUGUAGAAGAAUUAGUCAAAACCACCCUGAUCUCCAUUGAGAAUCAUCGAAGCAGUGAGAAUUCACAUUUCUUAAAUAGGUUCUUAAAUAGCUCGCAAUUUCCUCCGAAUCUUCAAACAAAAUAAAUGAUUGGUCUUCAAAAAGAGGGAACGACCUUUUUGACAACUGGGAGAUCCCAUUACUUACUUGAUUACAAUUCAUUUUUUCCUAUUAAUUUGUUAUUAGGAUUGAUGUUUCUGAUGAAGUGUCACCUGUAAUAUGCAUGCUAUUUCCUAGGAAAAGUAGCACAGAGUCACAUGUAUAUUAGUGUUGUUCUCUACUGUCACUUGAUGCUCUUGCAGCAGCUUACCAUGCCUAUGUCAAUGUGUGCUUUGCUGACGAGUUACUCUCUAUCUCUACAAUUUCUUUUAAUACGAUCCUAAGUAUGCUCAGCGGUAAACGUUCUGGUGGGAUACUUUUUCCGCAUUACUACAAAUUGGGUUUGUUCAUUUAAGAGUGGAGUCACUCUUGAAUUGCUGACUGAUAUCCUGGUGACUGCCUUUUUCCUGUUGAGCAUACUGCAUAUUAGUUCACCUCCUCUUCUGAGUUCCCUUUUCCCUUUGAGCAUGCUGCAAUAUUGGUUCUCUUUCGGCUGCAUAGACUCAUAUUUUCUGGCCAUAAUUCCUCCGGGUGUAACAUAGGAUGGUAUUAGUCUUAUCCUUUUAUGAAGAUAGUGACUUAUGUUGCCAUACAUAUCUGUAUGUAGGUUUUUGGUAUCACACACUCCCAUUCUGUUCCUUUUAGUAUUCCUGAUAGGCCGCUUCCUUUGUUAGAAUUUUUUUCUGUUUAUAGUAUGACUUUUACAUUUGGCUCAUAUGUUUUUACGCAUUUCUCAGGUUAGAUGGUGUGAAGUUCUUCUACGUACUUUAUGGGACUAAGAAAUAGUUCAGUUGUACCGUCGUCGAUUCUGGGUAUGAACUGUAUGAACAUGCUGAUGCAGUCCCAGAUGCUGUGUUUCUACCUAGGAACAGGACUAUAGUCAGGGAGCUAAUUUCAGAUGUCUGCGGAUGAAAGUAUUCAGGAAGCAAAACUCUAGGUGUCUACGGAUGCCAGCAGCAAGUGUCCCAUGCUUGAGCUACCAUCCGCAGUUUAAGUAGUAUAGAUCCUUGCUGCUACAUUGUGUAUGUUCACUAUUCCUGCCUUCUUCUACAUCGUGCUAUGGACGAUUGUAUGAUUUGUGUACUUUUUUGUGUAGAUGUAAUGAGUGUGCUGGAAGCUAUUCUGUAGUUCAACCAGUCUUUGCGUCACUCUUGACCGUUAUAACCAAACCAUUUAGUAAAAGGUCAUAUUUUCUA